Molecule: long non-coding RNA, 1441 nt
Filed under: Felis catus (domestic cat)
Lineage: Eukaryota; Metazoa; Chordata; Mammalia; Carnivora; Felidae
Description: lncRNA (ENSFCAG00000052311.1)
Source: RNAcentral
CUCAUAGAAAAUCUGACACAGGCCUGAAAAUAGAAGUAUAGGCUGCGCUAUUUGUAUCUCUCAAAUCUUCUUUUUUUCUCCAUAUAUAUCUGUUCAUUCAUUCAUUCAUUCAUUCAUUUGCUGUUGAAGUGGCCAGAGGAUAAACCUAGAUAUUCACUUAUGCCAUCAUCCUGCUAUUAGAGCCCUGACUGGUCUUUUCCCAUAUUGCAGACACUUUCAAGCUCGCUGAGAUUUCUGUGGACCAUUUCCAUUUACUUGGCUAUGAGAUGGGUUGGGGACAAAAUUCUGGAUAUACCAUCCCCUUCUCUAUGGCAGAGGGAGGAAAUGGCUUCAUGCCUUGGCUGCUGAACUUCCACCAGAGAAAAUUGAAUGGUUUAGUAAAUUGAAAGUGGCAAGUGGAAACACAGCGCUCUCCGUUUUGCAGCAACGGUGUUUAGUGUGGCAGCUCCCAGUCUAAGAUCUUCCACAGAAUCUGUGAAAGGAAAAUACUACUAAUUUCAAAUCUCCAUAAAUAUCUUAACGGAUGACCGGCACAAGCGGGUGGACAAGCCAGAAGGUAGGGACCGCGCAGCUGAAACUGCGCUCAGUCAGCUGGAACCACCACGAAACCUACGCAAGCCACGCAAGCUACGCCACCUAUGGAGGUCGUUGGUAGGUGGGCCCUGCGCUGGCGCAUGUGCGUCGUGAACAGCCUGAACCACGCCUGCAGCCGCAGUGGGGAUGUCAAGGACGCCUGGCCUGCUAGUCACCACGGUCGUUCCCAGAGCCACUCUGGACCCGCUCGCCUGUGCCUGUGCCAGAUUCUGAGAGUGAGAAGAGCCAGGAGCCCAGGUGUUCCUGAAAUGUGAGAGACAUCAUGAACAGGAACAACAAAAAAGGCAGUUGAUUGUAUUCUGUGAAUUAAUAGAGAUGGCAGUGGAGGUAGGGCUUGGUCAAAAAUCCAUCUGGGGUUGCCAGUGCCAGUCCUUGGAAUUCUCUCAUAAAUGAAUCAAUUAUUAAAAAUAUAUUGACUACACCCUUAAAAUUGCUUUAAAUUAUUAAUCCUUUAAAGAUGGAAUAUUUUGUUAAAAAUUAAUAUAAUUCAGCAAACUCGUGCCUAAUAUUAGCAUACUAAUGUUCAUUAGUAUCAUUUUAUCUUUUAUGUGGUUCUGAACUGAGAACAUGUUUUAAAGAUGGGAGUAGUGAAAACAGUUUAGUAGAGGAAAUUUUUCAUGGAGUCCAGUUAUGUACAGAGAGUGGUAAAUAGUGAGGGAAAAAGUAACCAAACAAUUAUGACACUUGGGAGAUUGUGUUUUAUGAAGUCAGGGGAAGAGCACUGGGAUGAAGGUAGGAAAAUGUUCCAGUCAAGGCUUCUUCAUUUGUAAUUGCCCUUUGGUCUGCUCUCAUCACUUAAGAUGGUUGCUUUCUUAAGAAGGUCACUUCCCUAAGGCUAAUAAGUCAC